GUUGUAUGGCUUGAUAGCAACAGAUGGACACAUCUCCUCCCUCACCCUUUCUUUUUAUUGUACUCCAUAAAAAUGAAUCCCUUUCCUUAGGCUGAGAGCAUCUGUCUCUUGUGUGAGAAGAUUUAAUAUUUUUUUUUUUCCUCUUUCUUUCCCCCCUCCCUCUUCUGUACUUUGUGAAGCUGUGUGACUCUUCAAGGUAAAGUGUGAAGGCCACACACACACAAAAUUGUGUUCAGACAAAGCACAAAAGCCUUGAAGGAGGCAAGUGAAAGUCAAGUUCUUCAAAGGCUUGCAUGACUGCAAAUGAAUAGAGUAGAAUACUUCAGUCAUUUGAGAGUCAUGUUACUGGUCCUGAAACAAAACUGUUGUGACAAGUUGUUGAAUGGAAGACUUUCCAAGAAAUCAAUCCUUCAUACCAGAAAGAUUCAUCUGAUUGAUGCCCAAACAAACUGCACUACAAUAUUUGGAGCUUCUUGCAAUACAAGAGUUCUUCUCCUAAAGCACUUGAAUCCCUUUCCUUGCAGGACUUCCAACAUUUUUACAGUGUAG
This 549-nucleotide long non-coding RNA is filed under the name Anas platyrhynchos platyrhynchos (common mallard). Its description in RNAcentral is "lncRNA (ENSAPLG00000020961.1)". The record is from RNAcentral. Lineage: Eukaryota; Metazoa; Chordata; Aves; Anseriformes; Anatidae.